Desulfobacteraceae bacterium IS3 is the source of this 46-nucleotide non-coding RNA. The record is from Rfam. NCBI's taxonomy places the organism in Bacteria, Pseudomonadati, Thermodesulfobacteriota, Desulfobacteria, Desulfobacterales, Desulfobacteraceae.
CCCGGCAAUAAAUUGCCGGGCUAUUCUCAGAUGUCCCUCCGGGACA